RNAcentral lists this ribosomal RNA (279 nucleotides) under uncultured bacterium. RNAcentral's name for it is "partial 16S ribosomal RNA". It matches the Rfam family "Bacterial small subunit ribosomal RNA", at positions 506 to 784 of the family's 1533-position model. The record is from RNAcentral.
UGCCAUCCGCCGCGGUAAUACGGAGGGUGCAAGCGUUAUCCGGAUUUACUGGGUUUAAAGGAUGCGUAGGCGGAAAAUUAAGUCAGUGGUGAAAGCCCCGAGCUCAACUCGGGAAUUGCCAUUGAAACUGAUUUUCUUGAAUACGGUUGAGGUAAGCGGAAUACGACAUGUAGCGGUGAAAUGCUUAGAUAUGUCGUGGAACACCAACUGCGAAGGCAGCUUACUAAGCCGUUAUUGACGCUAAGGCAUGAAAGCGUGGGGAGCGAACAGGAUUAGAUA